RNAcentral lists this long non-coding RNA (760 nucleotides) under Pan troglodytes (chimpanzee). RNAcentral describes it as "long non-coding RNA NONPTRT009759". The record is from RNAcentral. Lineage: Eukaryota; Metazoa; Chordata; Mammalia; Primates; Hominidae.
AGAAGAUCUAAUAUUAACUGACUCCUUAUUUUGUACCAGGAAAGGACGUGUCAACAUAGAGACUUAGGAGGUCAAAGUGAACUUCCUGAUCCCCAACAGGCAGGAGUCCUGCCAAAGCCAAAAUGUAUGUGUCACCUUGGAAGAUGAUGCACCAGGAAGAAUGGGGAGGAGGGAGGAGGAAAAACUGCUGAUGAGGCCGACUCGCUCUUUGGGGCUUAUCAUAUCAGCAAAGCCAGCUCUUUUGAGAUGGAAGAACAAACAUGUUUCUCCUCUGUGAGGAGGUGACAGUGGUGUGCUGGGUGAAGGAGAGCAGCUUUGUCCUGGAAGGAAUCUGACUUGGAAGGAGGCCCAGUUGUCCAGCAGGUACCUGUUUCCUUUCUGCUCUGGCUUCCAAAGGGCUCUCUGCAGAGCCCCUUCCCGGAGCUGCUGGCAGGAGGUCCUUUGCUUGGGGGGUGAUCCAUGGGGACGUCUGGAGCAGUGGGAGCCUAUCUUGGGACCUGGACGGGAGCUGCUCCACCUCAGCACCCGGGCUAUGAGGCAUAGGACUGGGCACCACGAGGGCAUGGGUGAAAGCGGCCUGGAUUUGGAUUUCAGAAGAACUGGGCUUGAGUCCUAGUUCUGCCAUAAACCGUGUGACUCUUAGGCGGUCACUUUAUGUUUUUAUUUCAGUGGCAUUAAAACUGUCAUUACCUACAAUAUGGGAAUUGUAAGGAACUACUGAGAAAACAAAUCUCAAAAUGUUCUGUGCAGACUCUCAAAU